GUGGCUGUGAGGGCUGAUGGGAGCUUUGGAGGAGCAGGAGGCUGUGAGGGGUCACAGGGAAGGACUGUGAGGGGGGUGCAGGCCAAAAUUUAGGGAGUGUGAGGGGUGACAGGGACUGUGAGGAGUGAUGGGUGUCAGUGAGGGGCAAUGUGGGGCAGACAUGGUGGUUGUGGCAGUGUCGUGAUAAGAGUAUAGAAAUUUGGUGGUAAAGAAACCCCUUGUUAGCCAGCUGGUCAUUAGGGAUCAGAGAGGGUGAGGGUAGCUGGGCUUAAGCUCUUAUUAUAACUUGUUUGGUACUAUAAGUGGUUGUGUUCAAUAGGAAGUUCCAUGAGCACAGGUCCUCAAGCAGGGCAUGUUCAAUACUGAGUCUGGUAAUGUUCAAUAACAACUUUCACCAUCACAGGUUCAUGAAUAGUAUGGUUUAUUGAAGCGGCAGAAGUGUAAGGGGGAAUGGAAAGUGAGAAUAACUGUAAGACCGCUGUUAAGUCCUGAAGACAGACACAGCAGGCACUGUGCUGGGACAAUUGGUCAGUGGGGUCUUGGGCUGUGCUGUGCCUCUGCCUCUGCUGGUGGCCAGGCAGGGCAGUCCAGAGCCCCAAACUGGGAGAAGCAGUAAGCAGUCCUUGCAAUGUGCUUGCUUUAAGGCUUCCUUGUGACUGGAUAAUCUGUGGACAGCAAUGGACUCGUGUCAUGGAGCAUGAGAGCCACUUCCAGAAGCUGUGAUGAGAAAUCGUUUGUUUAUCCAAAUAUAAAUUGGAAUAAAAUACAUUAUUUUUUA
Molecule: non-coding RNA, 778 nt
Organism: Zonotrichia albicollis (white-throated sparrow)
Lineage: Eukaryota; Metazoa; Chordata; Aves; Passeriformes; Passerellidae
Source: RefSeq, a predicted model, not a curated record